CACGUAGUUAGCCGUGACUUUCUGGUUGGAUACCGUCACUGCGUGAACAGUUACUCUCACGCACGUUCUUCUCCAACAACAGAGUUUUACGAGCCGAAACCCUUCUUCACUCACGCGGUGUUGCUCCAUCAGGCUUGCGCCCAUUGUGGAAGAUUCCCUACUGCUGCCUCCCGUAGGAGUAUGGACCGUGUCUCAGUUCCAUUGUGGCCGAUCAGUCUCUCAACUCGGCUAUGCAUCAUCGCCUUGGUAAGCCGUUACCUUACCAACUAGCUAAUGCACCGCAGGUCCAUCCCAGAGCGAUAGCCAAAGCCAUCUUUCAAACAAAGCCAUGUGGUUUUUGUUGUUAUGCGGUAUUAGCAUCUGUUUCCAAAUUGUUACUCCCCGCUCCGGGGCAGGUUACCUACGUGUUACUCACCCGUCCGCCACUCACUGGUAAUCCAUCGUCAAUCAGGUGCAAGCACCAUCAAUCAGUUGGGCCAGUGCGUACGACUU
This 492-nucleotide ribosomal RNA is filed under the name uncultured Lactobacillus sp. RNAcentral's name for it is "partial 16S ribosomal RNA". The record is from RNAcentral. Lineage: Bacteria; Bacillati; Bacillota; Bacilli; Lactobacillales; Lactobacillaceae.